Molecule: ribosomal RNA, 534 nt
Filed under: Triticum aestivum (bread wheat)
Lineage: Eukaryota; Viridiplantae; Streptophyta; Magnoliopsida; Poales; Poaceae
Description: partial small subunit ribosomal RNA
Source: RNAcentral
AGCGAUGUCCAUUGGUGGAUCACCGGGGUCUACGGACCACAGGACGACGAGGCCAAGCUUGAGUUCCUGGCCGAGCUACACGAUGUGCGUGAACCCCGCAUAGGCCCGUGGCUCCUUGGUAGUGACUUCAACAUGAUCCUCUCGGCGGCCGAGAAGAGCACUGCAAAUCUCAACCACCGCAUCAUGAGCAGGUUUCGACGAUUCAUUGCCGAUGAGGAGCUUCGUGACUUAUACAUGCACGGCCGCCGUUAUACGUGGUCUAAUGAGCGCGACCACCCGACCCUAGUCCGCAACGACCGCAUCCUCUGCACAUCUGGAUGGGAGUCUGCUCACCCUCACUGCCUCCUGCAGUGCCUCUCUUCGGCAGCAUCGGACCACUGUCCGCUCCUGGUCGACUGUGUGGCGCGGCCACCCGGGGCUAGACGCUUCCAGUUCGAGAGAUUCUGGCCGAGGCUCACUACGAAAAAAAGACACAUCCGUGACACUUUGGGCCGAACGAAAUUUUUUUCUGUCAUACAUAUGACACUUCUAUGA